AGUCUUAUAUUCAAUAAUGAUAAUAGAAUGCAAUUCUAUAGGAAUAACUGUGUUAUUAAGACUU
Molecule: transfer RNA, 64 nt
Filed under: Margattea bisignata
Lineage: Eukaryota; Metazoa; Arthropoda; Insecta; Blattodea; Pseudophyllodromiidae
Description: tRNA-Cys
Source: RNAcentral